RNAcentral lists this non-coding RNA (45 nucleotides) under Schistosoma mansoni. The record is from RNAcentral. Lineage: Eukaryota; Metazoa; Platyhelminthes; Trematoda; Strigeidida; Schistosomatidae.
AUCCAGCUGACAACUCCUGAAUAGGACGAAACGUGCGUCCUGGAU